GACGAACGCUGGCGGCGUGCCUAAUACAUGCAGGUCGAACGCUGACGGAGGAGCUUGCUUCUCUGGAUGAGUUGCGAACGGGUGAGUAACGCGUAGGUAACCUGCCUGGUAGCGGGGGAUAACUAUUGGAAACGAUAGCUAAUACCGCAUAAGAGUAGAUGUUGCAUGACAUUUGCUUAAAAGGUGCAAUUGCAUCACUACCAGAUGGACCUGCGUUGUAUUCGCUAGUUGGUGAGGUAACGGCUCACCAAGGCGACGAUACAUAGCCGACCUGAGAGGGGGAUCUGCCACGCUGGGACUGGGACACGGCCCAGACGCCUACGGGAGGCAGCAGUAGGGAAUCUUCGGCAAUGGACGGAAGUCGGACCGAGCAACGCCGCGUGAGUGAAGAAUGGUUUCGGAUCGUAAAGCUCUGUUGUAAGUGAAGAACGAGUGUGAGAGUGGAAAGUGCACACUGUGACGGUAUCUUACCAGAAAGGGACGGCUAACUACGUG
Molecule: ribosomal RNA, 495 nt
Filed under: uncultured bacterium
Lineage: Bacteria
Description: partial 16S ribosomal RNA
Rfam family: Bacterial small subunit ribosomal RNA
Source: RNAcentral